UACGGGGGGGGUAAGCGUUGUUCGGAAUUACUGGGCGUAAAGGGCUCGUAGGCGGCCAACUAAGUCGGACGUGAAAUCCCUCAGCUUAACUGGGGAACUGCGUCCGAUACUGGAUGGCUUGGAUUUGGGAGAGGGAUGCGGAAUUCCAGGUGUAGCGGUGAAAUGCGCAGAUAUCAGGAGGAACACCAAUGGCGAAGGCAGGUCUCUGGGCCGAAACUGACGCUGAGGAGCGAAAGCGUGGGGAGCGAACAGG
This 253-nucleotide ribosomal RNA is filed under the name uncultured bacterium. RNAcentral's name for it is "partial 16S ribosomal RNA". It matches the Rfam family "Bacterial small subunit ribosomal RNA", at positions 524 to 776 of the family's 1533-position model. The record is from RNAcentral.